RNAcentral lists this ribosomal RNA (500 nucleotides) under uncultured bacterium. Its description in RNAcentral is "partial 16S ribosomal RNA". It matches the Rfam family "Bacterial small subunit ribosomal RNA", at positions 30 to 523 of the family's 1533-position model. The record is from RNAcentral.
AUUGAACGCUGGCGGAAUGCUUUACACAUGCAAGUCGAACGGCAGCACGGACUUCGGUCUGGUGGCGAGUGGCGAACGGGUGAGUAAUGUAUCGGAACGUGCCCAGUCGUGGGGGAUAACGUAGUGAAAAUUACGCUAAUACCGCAUACGAUCUAUGGAUGAAAGCGGGGGAUCGCAAGACCUCGCGCGAUUGGAGCGGCCGAUAUCAGAUUAGGUAGUUGGUGGGGUAAAGGCCUACCAAGCCAACGAUCUGUAGCUGGUCUGAGAGGACGACAAGCCACACUGGAACUGAGACACGGUCCAGACUCCUAAGGGAGGCAGCAGUGGGGAAUUUUGGACAAUGGGCGAAAGCCUGAUCCAGCCAUUCCGCGUGCAGGAUGAAGGCCCUCGGGUUGUAAACUGCUUUUGUACAGAACGAAAAGGUUUCUACUAAUACUAGGAGCUCAUGACGGUACUGUAAGAAUAAGCACCGGCUAACUACGUGCCAGCCGCCGCAGUAA